Molecule: ribosomal RNA, 567 nt
Filed under: uncultured bacterium
Lineage: Bacteria
Description: partial 16S ribosomal RNA
Rfam family: Bacterial small subunit ribosomal RNA
Source: RNAcentral
UGGGGAAUUUUGGACAAUGGGGGAAACCCUGAUCCAGCCAUCCCGCGUGUGCGAUGAAGGCCUUCGGGUUGUAAAGCACUUUUGGCAGGAAAGAAACGUCGCGGGUUAAUACCCCGCGAAACUGACGGUACCUGCAGAAUAAGCACCGGCUAACUACGUGCCAGCAGCCGCGGUAAUACGUAGGGUGCAAGCGUUAAUCGGAAUUACUGGGCGUAAAGCGUGCGCAGGCGGUUCGGAAAGAAAGAUGUGAAAUCCCAGAGCUUAACUUUGGAACUGCAUUUUUAACUACCGGGCUAGAGUGUGUCAGAGGGAGGUGGAAUUCCGCGUGUAGCAGUGAAAUGCGUAGAUAUGCGGAGGAACACCGAUGGCGAAGGCAGCCUCCUGGGAUAACACUGACGCUCAUGCACGAAAGCGUGGGGAGCAAACAGGAUUAGAUACCCUGGUAGUCCACGCCCUAAAACGAUGUCAACUAGCUGUUGGGGCCUUCGGGCCUUGGUAGCGCAGCUAACGCGUGAAGUUGACCGCCUGGGGAGUACGGUCGCAAGAUUAAAACUCAAAUGAAUUGAC